CGGAAAACUAACAGUGAAUCCAGGACGGGAACUCACUCAGUUACAGGAUGAGAGCAUCAUUCGUUGACAAACCCCAGUUGGCCAGAGGGCACUUAAGAGUCAACCACAUUGCUGUGGGCCUGGAGUCACGUGUAGGCCUGCAGAUUUCCUUCAUUAAUGCACCAGAUAUCUUCGCUUAACUGGUUCCCCAUCCACCACUUUCAACAUUCACUCUCUCUUCACCAUUGGUGCUCUGUGGACCAUCUAUCUUGCAGCAACACAGCAAGUCUCCUCCAAAACUACCCUCAAAACCCAUUAACCCUUGAAGGAUGAGGGCAGUAGAAGCACUGGAACACCACCAAGAGCUCCAUUCCAAGCCACUCGCCGUCCCAACUUGGAAAUAAAUCAGUGUCGUUGGGUCAAAAUCCUGGAAUUCCGUCUCUAACCAAACUGUGGGUGUACCCACAUUACAAUGCAUGGCAAUGGCUCAUACAAACGGAACUGAGGUUUAGGGGGUGAAGAGCAUCAAGUUUCACAGAGUGACAAUAACAGACAACCCGUCCUGGACUUCCCACGUGGAUGCGACAGUCAGGGAGGCACAGCAACGCCUCUCCUUCCUCAGGCAGCUCAGGAAAUUUGUCAUGUCCAUACGGUUCCUCACCAACUUGUAAAGUUGCACCAUUGAAACCGUACAGUCCAGGUGUAUAACGGCCUGGCACGGCAUCUGCUCUGCCCAGGACUGUAAGAAGCUACAGAAGGUGAUGUGCACCUCCCAGACCAUCACAGAAACCAACCUUCCAUCCAUGGACUCUACUUACACGGCUCGCUGCCGCAGAAAGGCAUCCAACAACAUCAAAGACCCAUCGCACCCCAGUAAUGACCCCCUAAUCCUCUUCCAUCAGGCAGAAGCUACAGAAGCCUGAACACAUAUGCCAGCAGCUUCAGGAACAGCGUCUUUCCGGCCAUUAUCAGACAGUUGAAUGGACUCAAACAAUGUAUUCUGCAAUGUAACCUGUAUGCCUCUAAGUCUUUGGAUCUGUACAUCCCUUCCUUGCAGUAAUCUGCCUGUACUGCUUGUAAACAAAGGUUUUCACUGUAUUUCAGUACACAUGGCAAUAAAAUCAAUCAAAUCAUACAAACAAGGCACAAGAGUAUGCCACUUGGCCCUCGAGCCUGCUCUGCCAAUCAAUAAGUUCUUUGUAGAACCCCUAAAG
This is a long non-coding RNA of Stegostoma tigrinum, 1193 nucleotides long. RefSeq lists it as uncharacterized. NCBI's taxonomy places the organism in Eukaryota, Metazoa, Chordata, Chondrichthyes, Orectolobiformes, Stegostomatidae. The record is from RefSeq and is a predicted model, not a curated record. The transcript is spliced from 3 exons.